This 1104-nucleotide ribosomal RNA is filed under the name Triticum aestivum (bread wheat). Its description in RNAcentral is "partial small subunit ribosomal RNA". The record is from RNAcentral. Lineage: Eukaryota; Viridiplantae; Streptophyta; Magnoliopsida; Poales; Poaceae.
AUGAGUGAACCAACUGGUCUUGCUGAGGCUUUCGAGAAGCUUGCUAAGAUCCUCGCUGAGUCCAACUCUAGGGCCAUUGUUCCUCGACAGGAAGUGGCUCAUAAGCUCGAAAUGUCACCCCUGGACAUGAAGCUGGAGGGGGCCACAAAUUAUUUGAGUUGGUCCAGGAGGGCAUUGCUGGCUGUGGAACAAAAGGAACUUGAUGGGCACUUAUUGGGUGCGGUUGAUGAACCAGGAGACAAGACUACCGCGGAGGGAAAGAGGUGGAAGGUCAUAAACUCCGUGCUCGUUGGCUGGUUGUUGAACUCAGUGGUGCCCCCCAUUGGACGCUCUGUGGAGGGACUAUCCACGUCCGCCGAGAUAUGGAAGACUUUAUCCGCCCAAUACUCAGGCAAGGGUAAUUUCAUGCUAAUUGCUCAGAUUGAGGGGAAGAUCAGUCGGCUGCGCCAAGGUGACGACAUGUCAGUAAUGGCAUAUGUGGCAGAGCUGCAGGCUUUGUGGGCGGAGCAGGAUAACUGCGAUCCUCUGGAACUCUAUGAUGCUGCUUGCAUCGAGUCCGGGCGCAAUUGGAUUGCACGCAGGCGUGUGUUGAAACUAUUGGAAGGGCUCAGAGGUUGCUUUCAUGGAAGGGGGGCAUCCCUGUUGCACCAGCCUCUCCUGCCAACUAUUGAGGAGACUAUUGCAGCAAUGUCUCAAGAGGAGGUGAGGCUAUCUCUUGAGCAUGCAGACAUGAAGGCUGUGCCGGCUUCGACAUUUGCUGUCACUGAGCGCAUGGAGUGGGGAGAUCCCAACAAAUGUCAUGUUUGUGGGGAGAUAGGUCACUGGAAGAGGGAAUGUCCAACUCGUGGCAGAGGCAGGGGAUACAAUAGAGGGGGGACUGGCAGAGGUAGGCAUGCUAGAGGCAGAGGUGGAUACCUAGGGAACUCACGGGGUCAACUUUCUAGGGGCAGAGGUGGUUACUCAGGAAACUCAGGGGGUGAGAGGGCGCAUAUGGUAGUUGAAGGGGACACUGGGACGUCAAAGGGCAAGGAAGUUGACGAGGCUGCCUAUGGAGACUUUGCUCAUUGGGCCUCCACUGAUGAAGGGCACUAUACAAACUGCUGA